Long non-coding RNA from Gavialis gangeticus (Gharial), 1511 nucleotides. RefSeq lists it as uncharacterized. The record is from RefSeq and is a predicted model, not a curated record. Lineage: Eukaryota; Metazoa; Chordata; Crocodylia; Gavialidae. The transcript has 3 exons.
UUAUCAAAGAGAACCAGGAUCCCUGAUGGUAACUAAUAUAGGGCUUACAUAUAGAUUUAGAUUCAUACACUUUUUUCUUAGUGAUAUCUGGACCUAAAUGUGUUUUUUACCAUGUCAGUUUCUCUAGUAAGCACUUAAUGCUGCAAAAAUUCAAUAUAUGUUUAACUUUAUGCGCAUGAAUGUUCCCACUGAACUCUGGCACUUCCUAAGCACCUGUGUAAGUCUUAUCAGAAUGAAAGCUUUAAUGUGCAUCCUGUGACUUGCAAUCUGAUUAUUGUUUUUAGUACUGAUAAUAAUAGUUCCCACAGGAUGUUUCAGAGCUAUAAUCUCUAUCCUGCAUUCAGAUAUGCACAAAUGGAAAUUCAGGGCCUCAUUCACCUGCCAUUUUGGGAGCAUAAUUCAAGGGUUUUUUUUUUUUUUUAAUGCUAAAACAGCUCAAGAAAAAAAAAAAGAAAUAGGAUUUAACUAAUGGCCUGUGUACAACUGGGUAUGUAGACUAGUAUAAUUUUCACAUAUAUAGUUAUGUGGUUUUAUUAUAAUUAAAAUACAGUAUCCACAUAAAUAAUGUAAUAAUUCCAUGGCAUUUAUCACAGUGUGACUGUUUGGUAGGUAUUCGUAAUAAAACUGCUGGCAUAACUAAUUAAAGUAAAAGUAGAAAUAAAUACCCAGAAGAAAGGGAGUGAAAGAGGGAGGAGGAUGAAUAGAUUUGUCCUCUUGUGUCAAGAGGCAAUCUUUCUAUUUGGAUAAAAUGUAAAUUAAUUUGUGGAAAGCAGCAACAUAAGACCUAGGCUUAUCUCCCUUUACAUUUUGAAAUGUUAAAAGGGGGGAGCAUUAGCACUUUAAAUUACAGUCUGUGAAAGCAUUGUAUGGUAGUAAUUAAUUGCUUUAAUUACCUCUCCUCUUCAAAGUCCUUCAGGGUGUCCAGCUUUUGAUGGCUCCUAAAAGGAAUUUAUUCCAUGAAAAAAGAAAAAGCCAACAACCAUUAAUGUGGAAUUAAAAAAAAGAUCACAAAUGAACUCUCCAUAAGGUUCAUUUCCUAGCUUCUGAACCUCAGUAUAAUAAAAGAGCCUAUAACACAUACUUUAAUCUAAUUUCACCUUUUAUCAAAUAUUUUAGAUGACUUUAUAUGCACUUAGCAUCAAGAACAGCCUGUGCACACAGACGAAGGCCCUGACCUUGGAAGGAAGUCCAAACAGGAAUGCCUUUAAAUGCAGCAGAGACCCAAUGAGACCUUGUACAGCACUGCAAGUCAAUCAACAGAAUGCUUCUUAUAGGACUAAUUAGGCUCUAGGAAUGAUGAAGAUAAAAUAAUGGCACAUGGGGCAAAGAAAAGCCAAGAGUACCAAAAUGUCUUUGAGUUUAUCAAGAUCAUGCAGACUCCUAACCCUACCCUAAAGAUUUUCUGAAACUCCACCCAACUGACUAUCACAUGCAAAUUUUGUGGCUCAUCUAUAAAAUGGGGAUCAUAGUGCCACUUUCCUACCUGCACAGACUGUUGUGAAGAUAUAUAU